RNAcentral lists this ribosomal RNA (277 nucleotides) under uncultured bacterium. Its description in RNAcentral is "partial 16S ribosomal RNA". It matches the Rfam family "Bacterial small subunit ribosomal RNA", at positions 28 to 319 of the family's 1533-position model. The record is from RNAcentral.
AGCGAACGCUGGCGGCAUGCCUAACACAUGCAAGUCGCACGGGCCGGGGCCCUCGGGCCGCGGCCAGUGGCGGACGGGUGAGGAGCGCGUAGGGAUCUGUCUCUGGGUGGGGGACAACCGCGGGAAACCGCGGCUAAUACCGCAUGAGGCCUGAGGGCCAAAGCGCGCGAGCGCGCCUGGGGGGGAGCCUGCGUCCGAUUAGCUGGUUGGUGGGGUAACGGCCCACCAAGGCUGCGAUCGGUAGCUGGUCUGAGAGGAUGAUCAGCCACACUGGGAC